This 260-nucleotide ribosomal RNA is filed under the name uncultured soil bacterium. Its description in RNAcentral is "partial 16S ribosomal RNA". It matches the Rfam family "Bacterial small subunit ribosomal RNA", at positions 26 to 285 of the family's 1533-position model. The record is from RNAcentral.
AGGACGAACGCUGGCGGCGUGCUUAACACAUGCAAGUCGAACGGAAAGGCCCUGCUUUUGUGGGGUGCUCGAGUGGCGAACGGGUGAGUAACACGUGAGUAACCUGCCCUUGACUUUGGGAUAACUUCAGGAAACUGGGGCUAAUACCGGAUAGGAGCUCCUGCUGCAUGGUGGGGGUUGGAAAGUUUCGGCGGUUGGGGAUGGACUCGCGGCUUAUCAGCUUGUUGGUGGGUAGUGGCUUACCAAGGCUUUGACGGGUA